AAAAGAAACUAACAAGGAUUCCCUCAGUAGCGGCGAGCGAAGCGGGAAAAGCCCGGGAUGAAAAUCUCUUCGGAGACUUGUAUUCCGUGUGUCCUUGGGUGGUCAGUGCGGGCAAGUUGUCUGGGAUGACGCGCCAUGGAGGGUGAGAGCCCCGUCCAACCCGCACAGGAUCCAUUCGUACGAGGACACUUCAAACUGAGUCGGGUAGCUUGGGAAUGCUGCUCUAAUUGGUGGUAAAUCUCAUCAAAGGCUAAAUAAAAGUGGGAGACCGAUAGCGAACAAGUACCGUGAGGGAAAGAUGGAAAGUACUUUGAAAAGAGAGUGAAAAGCACUUGAAACCGUCAUGGGGGAAGCGAAUUGCGUUAGUGAUGGAUUGGCCUGUUCAGCUCAAAAUAUUUUAUUGAGUGUAUUCUGGCUUUUCCGCGCUUGUGUGGCUGGUGCGAGUACAAGGAGGGUGUGAAUGGGGGAAUUUUUGUUUUUCUGUUCUACAUCAUUUGUCGGUACUUUGCGCUGGUGAGGGCUCCCCGCAAGGGUGAGGACACGAGCGAAAUGACGCAAUACGACCCGUCUUGAAACACGGACCAAGGAGUCUAGCACGGCUGCGAGUCGAAGGGUAAUUUUUUUAUGAAAAACCUAGAGGGCGCAGUGAAAGCAACUAUGUUGGAGCAAUCUAACGACAAAGCAAAUUGGGGAGGCGUUGCGGUUUUACCAACAUGUCCUACCUUGAGCAUCUGUGCUGGGACCCGAAAGAUGGUGAACUAUGCCGGAGUAGGGCAAAGCCAGAGGAAACUCUGGUGGAGGCUCGUAGCGAUGCUGACGUGCAAAUCGCUCGUCGAACUUGGGUAUAGGGGCGAAAGACUAAUCGAACCAUCUAGUAGCUGGUUCCCUCCGAAGUUUCUCUCAGGAUAGCGGGCCGACACAUUUUUUUUUAAAAGUUGUUUUGUGCGGUAAAGCGAAUGAUUAGUGCAUUUGGGGGCCGAAGGCCUUCAGGCGAUUCUCAAACUUUAAAUGCGCAAGGGGGCGGCUGCUUAAUUUGAGCCUGCUCUUCGAAAAACGUCGGCUCCGUGGGCCACUUUUGGUAAGCAGAACUGGCGAUAAGGGAUGAACCUUAAGCGCGGUUAAGGCGCCGCAUUGCCCGCUUAUAGACCCCACAAAAGGUGUUGAUUCAUAUAGACAGCAGGACGGUGGCCAUGGAAGUCGGAAUCCGCUAAGGAGUGUGUAACAACUCACCUGCCGAAUGAAUUAGCCCUGAAAAUGGAUGGCGCUGAAGCGGGCAGCCGACACCGCGCCGUUCAGGCGAGACAACAUGUCUGAAUGAGUAGGAGGGCGUGGCGGUCCGUGACGCAGGCGAGGGUGCAAACCCCGCUGAAACGGCCGCUAGUGCAGAUCUUGGUGGUAGUAGCAAAUAUUCAAGCGAGAUCCUUGAAGGGCGAAGCGGGGAAGGGUUCCAUGCGAACAUUGAUUGGGCGUGGGUGAGUC
Molecule: ribosomal RNA, 1479 nt
Filed under: Nemalionopsis shawii
Lineage: Eukaryota; Rhodophyta; Florideophyceae; Thoreales; Thoreaceae
Description: LSU rRNA
Rfam family: Eukaryotic large subunit ribosomal RNA
Source: RNAcentral